RNAcentral lists this ribosomal RNA (429 nucleotides) under Gemmatimonadota bacterium. Its description in RNAcentral is "Gemmatimonadetes bacterium partial 16S ribosomal RNA". It matches the Rfam family "Bacterial small subunit ribosomal RNA", at positions 355 to 776 of the family's 1533-position model. The record is from RNAcentral. Lineage: Bacteria; Pseudomonadati; Gemmatimonadota.
UAGGGAAUCUUCGGCAAUGGACGAAAGUCUGACCGAGCAACGCCGCGUGAGUGAAGAAGGUUUUCGGAUCGUAAAACUCUGUUGUUAGAGAAGAACAAGGACGUUAGUAACUGAACGUCCCCUGACGGUAUCUAACCAGAAAGCCACGGCUAACUACGUGCCAGCAGCCGCGGUAAUACGUAGGUGGCAAGCGUUGUCCGGAUUUAUUGGGCGUAAAGCGAGCGCAGGCGGUUUCUUAAGUCUGAUGUGAAAGCCCCCGGCUCAACCGGGGAGGGUCAUUGGAAACUGGGAGACUUGAGUGCAGAAGAGGAGAGUGGAAUUCCAUGUGUAGUGGUGAAAUGCGUAGAUAUAUGGAGGAACACCAGUGGUGAAGGCGGCUCUCUGGUCUGUAACUGACGCUGAGGCUCGAAAGCGUGGGGAGCAAACAGG